This 253-nucleotide ribosomal RNA is filed under the name uncultured bacterium. RNAcentral's name for it is "partial 16S ribosomal RNA". It matches the Rfam family "Bacterial small subunit ribosomal RNA", at positions 524 to 776 of the family's 1533-position model. The record is from RNAcentral.
UACGUAGGGUGCAAGCGUUAAUCGGAAUUACUGGGCGUAAAGCGUGCGCAGACGGUGAUGUAAGACAGUUGUGAAAUCCCCGGGCUCAACCUGGGAACUGCAUCUGUGACUGCAUCGCUGGAGUGCGGCAGAGGGGGAUGGAAUUCCGCGUGUAGCAGUGAAAUGCGUAGAUAUGCGGAGGAACACCGAUGGCGAAGGCAAUCCCCUGGGCCUGCACUGACGCUCAUGCACGAAAGCGUGGGGAGCAAACAGG